AUGUGUUCGUCCAUGUCCCACAGUAGUUCAACACUACCUUCAUGCACCACACGGCCAAUCAGAUGCCAUCCUCCUGUUCCUGAAACCAGAAAGAAAAUGGAGUGUUUGUGUGAUCCAUCAAACAUACUACCUCGUAACCCAACCAACUUUGUCAUCAAGGGCCGCAUAUUUGUUCUCCAGCCUAGGAGUUUUUUUUUGUCGUCUAGGUCCACGAGGUCUGAUUCUGGGCUAAGUUCAACAGAAUCCAAUAAAUCUGCAAAUCUUCCACUCGGGUCGUCCUCGGUAACCUCUCGUAGCAUGCCUAACCUCCCGACUCGUUCUCAAAAACAGCAGAAUCGGGAUAAACAACCAUCCCCCACGCCCCUCCCAAGCACACAGAUCCGCUACUUGACCCCAAAUUCAUCGACAUGCUAUGGAGGGCGGUGGAGAUGGGGGGAGCUGAUUAGAGGUCGACAUCACUCUGAUGCGAUAAUCCUCCUUUUCUAA
This 486-nucleotide ribosomal RNA is filed under the name Triticum aestivum (bread wheat). RNAcentral describes it as "partial small subunit ribosomal RNA". The record is from RNAcentral. Lineage: Eukaryota; Viridiplantae; Streptophyta; Magnoliopsida; Poales; Poaceae.